Molecule: ribosomal RNA, 490 nt
Filed under: uncultured bacterium
Lineage: Bacteria
Description: partial 16S ribosomal RNA
Rfam family: Bacterial small subunit ribosomal RNA
Source: RNAcentral
AUUGAACGCUGGCGGCAGGCCUAACACAUGCAAGUCGAACGGUAACAGGAAGACGCUUGCUUCUUUGCUGACGAGUGGCGGACGGGUGAGUAAUGUCUGGGAAACUGCCUGAUGGAGGGGGAUAACUACUGGAAACGGUAGCUAAUACCGCAUAACGUCGCAAGCCCAAAGAGGGGGACCUUCGGGCCUCUUGCCAUCGGAUGUGCCCAGAUGGGAUUAGCUAGUAGGUGGGGUAACGGCUCACCUAGGCGACGAUCCCUAGCUGGUCUGAGAGGAUGACCAGCCACACUGGAACUGAGACACGGUCCAGACUCCUACGGGAGGCAGCAGUGGGGAAUAUUGCACAAUGGGCGCAAGCCUGAUGCAGCCAUGCCGCGUGUAUAAAGAAGGCCUUCGGGUUGUAAAGUACUUUCAGCGGGGAGGAAGGGAGUAAAGUUAAUACCUUUGCUCAUUGACGUUACCCGCAGAAGAAGCACCGGCUAACUCCGUG